This is a long non-coding RNA of Tupaia belangeri chinensis (Chinese tree shrew), 574 nucleotides long. RefSeq lists it as uncharacterized. The record is from RefSeq and is a predicted model, not a curated record. The transcript has 3 exons. Lineage: Eukaryota; Metazoa; Chordata; Mammalia; Scandentia; Tupaiidae.
AACUCAUGAACAACCUCUUCAGGACAACCUCUAGUUCAUCUGGCUAGAGACUGGUACAGCUUGACCAGCAGCUUCAGUGUUAUAUAAUAAGCUCCAAAAAGUUGAGAAACUGUUGAAGAAAAUCAUAAAGGCAGCAAAGCAAGUGAGAACAAGCAAUUACAAUGGAAAAAGUUACAACACUCAAAAGUACAGGUCUUAGUGUGAACGUAUGAAUAGAAGAAGAAAAUUUCUUUUUGCCUCAGUGCUUGGUCUCCAGAAUUCAAGUUUUAUUUAUCCAUCAUGUCAGAAGUGCUUCUCUCGGAUAAUCUUACUUCCCAAAAGGUAUAAUUGUCCAAAAUGUGGCUCUACUGGUGAAGCUGAAAAUGCCCGUUACAGAUAUAAACUUUCCUUAAAAGUUGCAGAAACAAACAAAUUGUUAGUCAUAACUAUAUUUGGAAGUGCCUUAGACACCUUUUUUGGUCUUACUGCUACUGAUUUGCACAGGUAUAUUCAGAAUCCUGAUAAGAUUCCAGAAACACUGGACAGUAACACAACUCAGGACCUACUUAUUAGAGCAGCUGAAACCUGCUUUGUU